UUUUGAAUAGUGUCUUCAUGCCACAGUGUCUUAUCAAAUGUAUUUGCAUGAUCUAAAAAAGUAAGACCAAUGAAAGCUUAGUCAUAUAUGUAGUAGAACUUUUCUCAUCGAACUUGUAUACCUAGUAGAGUUUUUCUCGUCCAACUUGUAUAUCUUGCUUUAUUACAUAUCAAAUAUUAUUCAGUAAUGGUUCCAUGGAGAGGCCGUAGCAGCUGGAAUGGUGAUAUAUCAAAUAUUAUUCAGUAAUAUUUGCUUGAUGCGAUCAAUUUGAUACAUGACUCAAGCAGUCUGAUCGAACUUGAGCUCUAGAUCACUAAUAUUGGAUUGAAAAUUCCUUAUGUUAGGCUUUUAAGCGUGAAUGACUCCCAAUGAGUGAAGGAGAUGAAACAUAUAAAUUAUAUGCACUAAUCAUAUUGGAUUGAUAUUGGCCUGAUUUUAGUUGUUCUAAUGUUCAUUUUCAGAUGUGCUUGUCUACUUAAUUUGAGUGCGCUAUUGUUACAAAGUGAAAAGAAAAGCUAGACCAAAUCAGUACAACCUAACUUUCAUAUUUUUUAGAAAUUUGAUAUGAUGAUUUUUAUUUGGUAAUUUCAAAUACUGAUUUUAUGACUUCUUUUUGAUUGAUCCAGAACAGCUGGAGCUGCGGAAAUUGAAGUGGGAAGCAAGAGUUUCAAACAUGCAGUGUUUGUUAUUUUUUAGCUAUAUUUUGAACAAGUAUUUUUUGUUAGAACUUAUGUUUGAAAUUUAAUUUGAAUACUGAGAUUGUAAUUUGAGAGUUGAGACUAUUUGUUAUAU
This 792-nucleotide long non-coding RNA is filed under the name Ananas comosus (pineapple). RNAcentral describes it as "long non-coding RNA (ACOM_LNC000547)". The record is from RNAcentral. Lineage: Eukaryota; Viridiplantae; Streptophyta; Magnoliopsida; Poales; Bromeliaceae.